This 324-nucleotide long non-coding RNA is filed under the name Saimiri boliviensis boliviensis (Bolivian squirrel monkey). RNAcentral's name for it is "lncRNA (ENSSBOG00000036652.1)". The record is from RNAcentral. Lineage: Eukaryota; Metazoa; Chordata; Mammalia; Primates; Cebidae.
CAUCACCAAGAGCUCCCUUCCCACCCAUGCUCAGCCUGCCUGGGGAACUCCAGCAGGGAAAGGGGAAGGGUGAGAGGAAGGAGAGCGUAGGGGAGGAGGCGGGGUCAUCAGGGCUCCAUAUCUCAGCCCAAAAACAGAAGCUGCACCCAGAGCAGGCGGACCUGAGGCCCUCACUCUUGGGUGCCCGAGUAGGUGAGAGCUGGGAGUCUGGACACCAGGAGAGUCCAGCAUGUGGGGCCACUUGUCCCUGAUGCCUGCCUUCCUUGCUGUGUGGGCUAUCUCCGGCGUCUGGAUCGUGUGAGUGUCAGAGGCACCAUGGACUCC